This 469-nucleotide ribosomal RNA is filed under the name uncultured bacterium. Its description in RNAcentral is "partial 16S ribosomal RNA". It matches the Rfam family "Bacterial small subunit ribosomal RNA", at positions 28 to 507 of the family's 1533-position model. The record is from RNAcentral.
GACGAACGCUGGCGGCGUGCUUAACACAUGCAAGUCGAACGGAAAGGCCCUGCUUGCAGGGUGCUCGAGUGGCGAACGGGUGAGUAACACGUGGGUGAUCUGCCCCUUACUUUGGGAUAAGCCUGGGAAACUGGGUCUAAUACUGGAUAGGACCAUGCUGUAGGUGGUGUGGUGGAAAGAUUAGUUUCGGUAAGGGAUGAGCUCGCGGCCUAUCAGCUUGUUGGUGGGGUAAUGGCCUACCAAGGCGUCGACGGGUAGCCGGCCUGAGAGGGUGGACGGCCACAUUGGGACUGCGAUACCGCCCAGACUCCUACGGGAGGCAGCAGUGGGGAAUAUUGCCCCAUGGGCGCAAGCCUGAUGCAGCGACGCCGCGUGGGGGAUGACGGCCUUCGGGUUGUAAACUCCUUUCAGCCAUGACGAAGCCCUUGUGGUGACGGUAGUGGUAGAAGAAGCACCGGCUAACUACGUG